Molecule: ribosomal RNA, 1440 nt
Filed under: metagenome
Description: bacterial LSU rRNA
Rfam family: Bacterial large subunit ribosomal RNA
Source: RNAcentral
UAAGAGCUACUGGAGUGAUUAGAAAAGCAAAUGUAGGUAUAAGUAACGAUAAGGCCGGCGAGAAACCGGCCCGCCGAUAGACUAAGGUUUCCUGAACAACGCUAAUCGGUUCAGGGUCAGUCGGGACCUAAGGCGAAGCCGAACGGCGUAGUCGAUGGACAACUGGUUAAUAUUCCAGUACUUGCUCUACUGUGAUGAGGAGACGGAAAAUGAAAGUGCUGCGUACUGACGGAAUAGUACGUUGAAGGGUGUAGGUAUAUUUUUGGUAGGAAAAUCCGCCAGAGAUGCUGAAGCCUGAUAGUACCUUGAGUCGUAAGACAAGAGGAUAUGCACCUAAGUCAGCUUCCAAGAAAAUCCUCUAAACUUCAGGUAGAAGCAACCCGUACCGCAAACCGACACAGGUAGUCAAGGAGAGAAUCCUGAGGCGCUCGAGUGAACCGUGGUUAAGGAACUAGGCAAAUUGACCCUGUAACUUCGGGAUAAAGGGUGCCCACAGUAAUGUGGGCCGCAGUGAAAUGGCGAUGGCGACUGUUUAACAAAAACACAUGGCUUUGCGAAAUCGAAAGAUGAAGUAUAAGGCCUGACACCUGCCCGGUGCCGGAAGGUUAAGAGGAGAUGUUAGAAGCAAUUCGAAGCAUUGAAUUGAAGCCCCGGUAAACGGCGGCCGUAACGAUAACGGUCCUAAGGUAGCGAAAUUCCUUGUCGGGUAAGUUCCGACCUGCACGAAUGGUGUAACGAUCUUCGCACUGUCUCAACCACGAGCUCGGUGAAAUUGUGGUAUCAGUGAAGACGCUGAUUACCCGUCACGGGACGGAAAGACCCCAUGCACCUUCACUAUAGUUUAACAUUGACGCUGGAUAAUUGAUGUGUAGAAUAGGUGGGAGGCUUUGAAGCAGCGGCGCUAGCCGUUGUGGAGCCACCGUUGAAAUACCACCCUUUAAUUAUUUGGCGUCUAACUCCGCAGGGAGGACAUUGUUUGAUGGGUAGUUUGACUGGGGUGGUCGCCUCCGAAAGAGUAUCGGAGGCUUUCAAAGAUUCGCUCAGUACGCUUGGUAACCGUACGUAGAGUGCAAUAGCAUAAGCGAGUUUGACUGUGAGGCCGACAAGCCAAGCAGGGUCGAAAGACGGAUAUAGUGAUCCGGCGGUUCCGCAUGGAAGGGCCGUCGCUCAUAGGAUAAAAGGUACGCUGGGAUAACAGGCUGAUCCCUCCCAAGAGCUCACAUCGACGGGGGGGUUUGGCACCUCGAUGUCGGCUCGUCACAUCCUGGGGCUGGAGAAGGUCCCAAGGGUUCGGCUGUUCGCCGAUUAAAGUGGCACGCGAGCUGGGUUCAGAACGUCGUGAGACAGUUCGGUCCCUAUCUGUGAUGGGCGUUAGAAAAUUGAGAUGAGCUGACUCUAGUACGAGAGGACCGAGUCGGACAAACCGCUAGUGUACCAGUU